AGUGAACGCUGGCGGUAGGCCUAACACAUGCAAGUCGAACGGCAGCACAGUAAGAGCUUGCUCUUACGGGUGGCGAGUGGCGGACGGGUGAGGAAUACAUCGGAAUCUACUUUUUCGUGGGGGAUAACGUAGGGAAACUUACGCUAAUACCGCAUACGACCUACGGGAGAAAGCAGGGGAUCUUCGGACCUUGCGCGAUUGAAUGAGCCGAUGUCGGAUUAGCUAGUUGGCGGGGUAAAGGCCCACCAAGGCGACGAUCCGUAGCUGGUCUGAGAGGAUGAUCAGCCACACUGGAACUGAGACACGGUCCAGACUCCUACGGGAGGCAGCAGUGGGGAAUAUUGGACAAUGGGCGCAAGCCUGAUCCAGCCAUACCGCGUGGGUGAAGAAGGCCUUCGGGUUGUAAAGCCCUUUUGUUGGGAAAGAAAAGCAGCAGGUUAAUACCCCGCUGUUCUGACGGUACCCAAAGAAUAAGCACCGGCUAACUUCGUG
Molecule: ribosomal RNA, 492 nt
Filed under: uncultured bacterium
Lineage: Bacteria
Description: partial 16S ribosomal RNA
Rfam family: Bacterial small subunit ribosomal RNA
Source: RNAcentral